This 491-nucleotide ribosomal RNA is filed under the name uncultured bacterium. RNAcentral's name for it is "partial 16S ribosomal RNA". It matches the Rfam family "Bacterial small subunit ribosomal RNA", at positions 29 to 507 of the family's 1533-position model. The record is from RNAcentral.
AGUGAACGCUGGCGGUAGGCCUAACACAUGCAAGUCGAACGGCAGCACAGUAAGAGCUUGCUCUUACGGGUGGCGAGUGGCGGGCGGGUGAGGAAUACAUCGGAAUCUACUUUUUCGUGGGGGAUAACGUAGGGAAACUUACGCUAAUACCGCAUACGACCUACGGGUGAAAGCAGGGGAUCUUCGGACCUUGCGCGAUUGAAUGAGCCGAUGUCGGAUUAGCUAGUUGGCGGGGUAAGGCCCACCAAGGCGACGAUCCGUAGCUGGUCUGAGAGGAUGAUCAGCCACACUGGAACUGAGACACGGUCCAGACUCCUACGGGAGGCAGCAGUGGGGAAUAUUGGACAAUGGGCGCAAGCCUGAUCCAGCCAUACCGCGUGGGUGAAGAAGGCCUUCGGGUUGUAAAGCCCUUUUGUUGGGAAAGAAAAGCAGCAGGUUAAUACCCCGCUGUUCUGACGGUACCCAAAGAAUAAGCACCGGCUAACUUCGUG